CUAACCCUAAGUCAUUUCUCCUAAUUCGCUGCCUUCAGAUGCUCUCUUAUCUCCACUCUUCUCUCAAACAUAACCCUAGACUCCUGCACUCACCUCCUUCUCCGGUCAUCUCCGGCAACUAUCCCUUUCAACCCAAGCCUCCAAUGAGUCUCUCAUCAUCUUGCUAGUCAUCUCUAUGACCUUCAAGGAUCAUGGGCCAUGUUGGUUUGGACCUAGGAUUUCUGUUUCUGUUACUUAUGGGUUUUCUGGUGUGAUUUUGGAAAAAAUCACACCUUAUAUGUCACGAUCAGUGAAGUUUUAGAAGGUUCUUUUGAUUUUUUACUUGUGUAUUUUUUUUGAAACCCUAACUCUCUUCUAAAUCUCUCAGAUCUAUGUUAUUUUUAUGCUUUAAGCCUAUUUCCUUUUGUGAUUUGCUUAUUCUCGAGCUUUUUUCUGAAAGAUCUUCUACUCUAAACCAUUUUUACUCCUUUUGAAAAACUAGGAUUUUCAGAGUUCUUUUAUACAUGUUUUGACUAAUUUCUUUAUGAUUAAACCCUCUUCCUUAAUCUCAAUCGAUUCUAAGUUCUUACUAUUUUUUAACUCAACUCUGUUAAAAAAGCCCUAAUUUCUUAAAGAUUUUCUUCCCUUGAUUCUGUGAGUUAGCAUGAUUUUCUUUACUUGUUUCUAUGUGUUAUCCUAAUUUUCUUUACUUGUCUCCGUGUGAUAGCUUUAUUUUCAUUACUCUGCUUCUAGUUAGCAUGAUGUUCUCCAUUUUUGUUCCGUGUGUUAGCAUGACUUUCUUUUACUUCAUUUCUGUGUGUUAGCCUGUUUACCUGGUCCUUGUUAAUCUCUCGUGGUCACCAUGCUUCGAAUAUUUUCUGUUGAAUCUCUAGCCUACUUAUAUCACCUCUACAUGACUGUGUUUGCUCAUCUUUUAUUUUUUACCUAUGUAACCGACCUUGUUUGUUUGCUACUUCUGUUCAAUAGUCUCUGCUUGUAUGUCGAGAUAUGCAGAAUCAUGACUCCCCAUGAUUGAUUCUGAUUGUCCUUAACUUUUGGUAAUUGAAAUAUUUUCCUUCAAAGGCCUAGAAUUCUACUCGUCUGUUUAAAUUAUCUAAUUGCAUUACCUUAUUUACUAUGGUACUUUGUUUUACUUACUCUUUGGGUCUUUCUGAAUUUGGUCGUAAUUGACUACUUUAUGCCUACUAAAUCUUGACCCUUUCCUUAUUUAAUCAUGCACUGAUUUCCCUUCCUCCCCUUAUAUGGUACUGAAUCUUCCCGUUUGGACUUGACUCCUUUUAGUUAAGGAAGUACUUCUUGAUUCUCUAGAUGAUUAAUUAUGAGUUCUUAAAAUAGUAUACUACUAUGAUUUUUACCUUAUUCCACUACCUAAUUUUAACUAUAAAUACUCUAAGUCUUUCACAAACAAGACACACACUUGGCUUCCAAAAAGCUCCUCUCCUACUUAAAAUCUCUAUUAUUCUACUACUAUUGGCCAGUUGGAAGCCAAGGCUAAUCAUCUAUAUUCUUUUGUUCUUUCAUUCUGCCUACUUUUUCUUCAGUGGUACGUCCUAGUUUAAUUUAAAGUAUCAACAACAACAUGUUUCUCUUCUUGUUUCAAUUUAUUUUAUUUCAAGCCUUCUUUUACUUAUGGUUUUGUUGUGAAGUUUGAAGCUAAGAAUGCUUCUGCAUGUAUAGGCAAUCCUUAGGGCAUUUCCAAAACUUUUAUUUCUCUGAAGCUAUUUCUGUCACCGAACAUUUCUGAAUUCUAAUGAGCUUUUAAAAGAGGUACUAAGCAACUAAUAGGUUGUGACUUAUAUAUCUGAAAGCGGUUUGUUUCUGUAUAUAUACUUUGGAAACCUGCCUUAAGACUUGGGUUACUAAAGGUAUUACUUGUGGUUGAGUCAUGUUGCAUAUAUACUUGUUUGCGGAGGAAACCAUGAGCCUUUAGUUGCUUCAUCUAUGUGAAAGUCCAAAAUGUUUUCUUUGAUUGUCGCCUUAGAUUUUACCUUUAAAACCUUAGGGGUAUGUCUAGAAAUAGCUAUAGAUAGAAGUCCUAACUCCUUUUGGACUAUUUACAAUGGACGGGUAGCAGCACACAAUAUGAAUCAGUGACCAACACUUGUUUUGCAUGACCAAUAAUUUGAUGUGACGGGUAGACAUGGGAUUUGAUCACAUAUGUGUUAAUGGUAUGUGUAGCCCCUCGUUGAGGAGUGUUUAUCAGACAUUGCAUGAGGUGAUCCUGUAGGAUAAACAACCUAGGACCCCUCUUUACCCAAACAUUCUUGUUUAAAACUUUUCUUUAUUAUUUUGUUCAACCUUCAUUUCAUUACUUGACUUGUUCAAACAUGUUGUACUUAUUUGAUUCAACUAGUUUUAUGGAAUAAUUUGUAAAUAUACGUUUGGUCUGGACCCAUAGUUGUGGACCAAGAGGGGUGCCUAACACCUUUCCGUUGAGGUUAUCUCGAGCCCUUACUCUAAUCUCUAGUAAUACAAAAUAAUCCAAGAGUUAAUUACUCUAAGUUCCCUACGCACCUUAAUUCUUUAGGUGGUGACUCUUCAAAUGCCUAAUUCCCAAAAGGAAAUGAGUCAUUUAACCCCAUGGAAUGUCGAAACCUGGACUUCUCCCCGUGAGGAUGGAGAAAAAUAGGGCGCGCCAACAUGUCGACUCUGAUGGGAAAAUUUUUAGGCUUUUACCAUAACAAACUUGUUUUUACAAAUUAGUCCAAGCAUGUUUAUCCCAUAUCGUGCUCCCUUAUCUGAAUUUAGCUGUUGUUUCUUUUGAGCAUUUAUGAUUUCUUUAUUACCCUGAAAACUAACUUGUCUCUUUAUUUUCCUUUUUUUAUAUCUGUCUUUUGAAUUAUUUAAAUGCUGUAUUUAUUCUUCCAACGUUAAAAUACUUGCCUACAUGUUACUAACUGCUGCAUAAAUGAUGCUCCAUAUCAUAUUCUACUCGUAUGUCUCAAAUCCUAUAACAAAGCUUUACUGAGUGGCUGCACUCUUUCUAUUUAUUACCCUUAAAUUUAGAAAGGCUUAUUUGCAGUAAAACCAGUCGACCAGCAGUGUAGUCGUCGGUUCUGUGCCUUCCUCCACAAGUUGUUUGCUUGACGGUACCAGUCUAAAAUCCCAUAGAAGCCUUACUUUAAUUAUGCAUGCAUCAUUGUCAAACCUAGUUGGAUCAGUUAUGUAGUCCACAUAAUGAUCCUUGAAGAUGUCUUAUCCAUAGUCCAUCAAGUUUUCCAUAAUCCCAAUGGACACAACCACGUUUUAUGCAUUAGUUUGGAGAACUAAAUGUCGAUAUGCUAAUCAUAAAUGUAUAAAUAGUCUAGUUCAAUGGGGGUAAGGCCUAACCAUUUUGUUUUGCAGAAAAUGAGGCACGAGGUUCCCAAAUUCGGUAUGGUUAGCAAUAUCCCUCCAUUGUUGCUAAGUUGGUGGGAAGAUCUGACUGCGCGAGCUGGGAGAUCUGUUUGAUGGAGUUUGGAAGAUUGAAUAUGGGGAAGGUCCUUUAGGGACCAAAUAGAUUAGAUUUACAUUUUUUCCUUAAAUUUAAUAAAGGCCAAGUUCUAGUAGUGACUUGUCUCUUUUCAUUAUGUUAGCGUCAUUUUGGAUUCAUCUACUUUUAUGCCAUGAAAUGAGGCAUUUAUUGGCAAUUGAAGUUCUCCAAAUUUAUUUGUCGCUAGGACUACCUCGGGCACAACGAGGCUCUCAAAUUAGG
RNAcentral lists this long non-coding RNA (3694 nucleotides) under Nicotiana benthamiana. Its description in RNAcentral is "long non-coding RNA (NBEN_LNC019340)". Lineage: Eukaryota; Viridiplantae; Streptophyta; Magnoliopsida; Solanales; Solanaceae. The record is from RNAcentral.